GACGAACGCUGGCGGUAUGCUUAACACAUGCAAGUCGAACGAGACGAGAUGGAAGGAUCCUUCGGGUGACGGAAAUCUUAGAAAGUGGCGAACGGGUGAGUAACGCGUGGGUAACCUGCCCUAUGGAAAGGAAUAGCCUCGGGAAACUGGGAGUAAUGCCUUAUAAGAUACAUUGGUCGCAUGGCAGAAGUAUUAAACGCUCCGGUGCCAUAGGAUGGACCCGCGUCCCAUUAGCUAGUUGGUGAGAUAACAGCCCACCAAGGCGACGAUGGGUAACCGGUCUGAGAGGGCGAACGGUAACACUGGAACUGAGACACGGUCCAAACUCCUACGGGAGGCAGCAGUGGGGAAUAUUGCGCAAUGGGGGAAACCCUGACGCAGCAAUACCGCGUGAGUGAAGAAGGUUUUCGGAUCGUAAAGCUCUGUUAUUGGGGAAGAAAAAAGACGGUACCCAAGAAGAAAGUCCCGGCUAACUACGUGCCAGCCGCCGCUGUAA
RNAcentral lists this ribosomal RNA (496 nucleotides) under uncultured bacterium. Its description in RNAcentral is "partial 16S ribosomal RNA". It matches the Rfam family "Bacterial small subunit ribosomal RNA", at positions 28 to 523 of the family's 1533-position model. The record is from RNAcentral.